GCGGGCCCGGCGCGGCGCGCGCGGCGGCUGCAGGGGGACGUGAGGCCCGUGAGGUCGAUGCCGGGGAUGCGAGGGGCUCACAGCAUCAGCCGGCUCCCGGCUUGUCUGGAUGCUCUGAUUAGCAAGACCUACUGGGAUAAGAGACUGGAAGAGAGAGGAAGAAUGACAAAUCAG
This is a long non-coding RNA of Zonotrichia leucophrys gambelii, 174 nucleotides long. RefSeq lists it as uncharacterized. The transcript is spliced from 3 exons. The record is from RefSeq and is a predicted model, not a curated record. Lineage: Eukaryota; Metazoa; Chordata; Aves; Passeriformes; Passerellidae.